AUAAAAGCACAGAUAAGCGAGAGUAAACUAUUAACCGUAUUCAGAGAGUGACCGUUUGAUGAAAGGUCAUUACGUUUAAUUCUUGAAAGUAGGCUUUGAGCUGUAGAUGCGAACCUGAGUGUCUAAUGGAUGCCACCAUUAAAAGGCCAGUGAUUCCGGAUCAGUCCGCGAUCAUUAAGGUUGAGUUUAUUCUCAACAAAAUUAAGGUGGUACCGUGCAUCUAAUGCGCCCUUCGA
Molecule: non-coding RNA, 236 nt
Filed under: Lentilactobacillus curieae
Lineage: Bacteria; Bacillati; Bacillota; Bacilli; Lactobacillales; Lactobacillaceae
Description: Lactobacillus curieae T-box sequence
Rfam family: T-box leader
About the family: Uncharged tRNA acts as the effector for transcription antitermination of genes in the T-box leader family.
Source: RNAcentral